This is a long non-coding RNA of Sinocyclocheilus grahami, 90 nucleotides long. RefSeq lists it as uncharacterized. The transcript is spliced from 3 exons. The record is from RefSeq and is a predicted model, not a curated record. NCBI's taxonomy places the organism in Eukaryota, Metazoa, Chordata, Actinopteri, Cypriniformes, Cyprinidae.
GAUAAACUGUCACAUUCUACCCUGUUACAACAUGAUUUUUUUCAAAAAUAUACACAAUGCACAAAAUCAAAAUAUAUAUAUAUAUAUAUA